RNAcentral lists this ribosomal RNA (554 nucleotides) under Pseudoalteromonas marina. RNAcentral describes it as "bacterial SSU rRNA". It matches the Rfam family "Bacterial small subunit ribosomal RNA", at positions 94 to 649 of the family's 1533-position model. Lineage: Bacteria; Pseudomonadati; Pseudomonadota; Gammaproteobacteria; Alteromonadales; Pseudoalteromonadaceae. The record is from RNAcentral.
AGCGGCGGACGGGUGAGUAAUGCUUGGGAACAUGCCUUGAGGUGGGGGACAACCGUUGGAAACGACGGCUAAUACCGCAUAAUGUCUACGGACCAAAGGGGGCUUCGGCUCUCGCCUUUAGAUUGGCCCAAGUGGGAUUAGCUAGUUGGUGAGGUAAUGGCUCACCAAGGCGACGAUCCCUAGCUGGUUUGAGAGGAUGAUCAGCCACACUGGGACUGAGACACUGGUCCAGACUCCUACGGGAGGCAGCAGUGGGGAAUAUUGCACAAUGGGCGAAAGCCUGAUGCAGCCAUGCCGCGUGUGUGAAGAAGGCCUUCGGGUUGUAAAGCACUUUCAGUCAGGAGGAAAGGGUGUGAGUUAAUACCUCAUAUCUGUGACGUUACUGACAGAAGAAGCACCGGCUAACUCCGUGCCAGCAGCCGCGGUAAUACGGAGGGUGCGAGCGUUAAUCGGAAUUACUGGGCGUAAAGCGUACGCAGGCGGUUUGUUAAGCGAGAUGUGAAAGCCCCGGGCUCAACCUGGGAACUGCAUUUCGAACUGGCAAACUAGAGUGU